UGGGGAAUAUGGCACAAUGGGGGAAACCCUGAUGCAGCGACGCCGAGUGAACGAAGAAGGUAUUCGUAUCGUAAAGUUCUGUCCUAUGGGAAGAUAAUGACAGUACCAUAGAAGAAAGCUCCGGCUAAAUACGUGCCAGCAGCCGCGGUAAUACGUAUGGAGCGAGCGUUGUCCGGAAUUAUUGGGCGUAAAGGGUACGCAGGCGGUUUAAUAAGUCGAAUGUUAAAGAUCGGGGCUCAACCCCGUAAAGCAUUGGAAACUGAUAAACUUGAGUAGUGGAGAGGAAAGUGGAAUUCCUAGUGUAGUGGUGAAAUACGUAGAUAUUAGGAGGAAUACCAGUAGCGAAGGCGACUUUCUGGACACAAACUGACGCUGAGGUACGAAAGCGUGGGGAGCAAACAGG
Molecule: ribosomal RNA, 403 nt
Filed under: bacterium
Lineage: Bacteria
Description: partial 16S ribosomal RNA
Rfam family: Bacterial small subunit ribosomal RNA
Source: RNAcentral